UUAUCUGUUUGAGGCUUCUAUGUUACUUUUUGUUAUUUACUUAUCUAUUCAUUUAUAUUUAAUUAAUGGGAGGUACCGGGUACCAGGUACCAUUGUACCAAGAAAGAGACGUCCAUGCCAAGUCCACGUGCUCUUAUUUAAAACUGUCUGUAGAAUUUAACAGGAUCAACAACCGUUCUGUUGGUGAAACCUAAAUUUCAUUUUUAUUUUCGAGAGAAUGAAUUAUAAUCAUAUCCAUGGAUGAAACUGAAAGAAAACAAUAGUGUCAGUGGAACUGUUAUGUUCAAGGUGCAAGAAGAAGGUGAUGAAGUUAAUUGCAGGAAUAGAAGGUAUAAAUUCUAUUGCCCUUGACGCUUCCAAAAGCACAGUGACUGUAACUGGAGAUGCUGAUCCUUUUGAGAUAAUAAGACAAGUGAGGAAAUUCAGAAAAUCUGCACAGAUUGUCAGUGUAGGUCCUCAAAAGGAAGAGAAGAAGGAAGAGAAGAAAGAAGAGAAGAAGGAAGAGAAGAAAGAAACAUAUGCAACUUGUUAUGUUCCAAAGACAUGCCAAAGAUGUGAUGUCUGGUAUGUGGUAGGGGAAGAUCCUUAUCAUAAUUGUUCUAUUCUAUAAAUUUUAUGAACUUCAAACCUUUGAUUCAUGGAUCAAGAAAGACUAAACAGUACACUAGUUCUGUUGUUUAUCAGUCUAUGAAAGAAUUAUGUUAAAUCCUCUUGGAAUGUGAA
RNA transcript from Macadamia integrifolia, 723 nucleotides. It is a transcript of the gene named heavy metal-associated isoprenylated plant protein 2-like, with no coding region annotated. The transcript has 2 exons. The record is from RefSeq and is a predicted model, not a curated record. NCBI's taxonomy places the organism in Eukaryota, Viridiplantae, Streptophyta, Magnoliopsida, Proteales, Proteaceae.